Hippocampus comes (tiger tail seahorse) is the source of this 269-nucleotide long non-coding RNA. RefSeq lists it as uncharacterized. The record is from RefSeq and is a predicted model, not a curated record. Lineage: Eukaryota; Metazoa; Chordata; Actinopteri; Syngnathiformes; Syngnathidae. The transcript has 3 exons.
AGUUGCUCACCAAGAGGCCGAGGACUUUUUGCUGAAUGGACGACUCGUUAGGGAAGGACUGGGGAGAAAGGGCAAAACAAAGAGACAGCAGGCAGUUCUUCUGCAACUGGAAAUCGGAGAGGAACAUCAUGCAUGUGGCUGUCAUUGCAAAUUGAACAACAAAUGAGAUGCAGCACUAACAGAAACAUGUCUCUACCUGCUGGUGGUUGGGGAAUGUCCUCAUGGCCUCCAGCAGGAGCUGAGUGACUGUACUGAGCAGGCGGACCGGC